This 293-nucleotide long non-coding RNA is filed under the name Nicotiana benthamiana. RNAcentral's name for it is "long non-coding RNA (NBEN_LNC001685)". Lineage: Eukaryota; Viridiplantae; Streptophyta; Magnoliopsida; Solanales; Solanaceae. The record is from RNAcentral.
AGUUCUAAUUUUAACACAUCCAUAAAAUUGCAGUACAUCUUGCACGUAAAAGUUGAAAUGCUCCAUCCAUGACCAAGAGUUUAAACAAAUACAACAACAAUAACGCCUCAAACCCAAACAAGAUGAGCUCGACUAUAUGAAUUCUCACAGACAAAUGCGUUGGUGAAAAGGGAAAGCAAUAGCUUCCCAACGCUUAUUGUUUCUUGCCAAAAUGAGGCAAAGAGAUAGCCAGUUACAUCGCCAUCUUAUAGUGUUCUUUCAAGAUGCUUUAUGCAGUCAAAGCUCAGACAAGA